GGUCUUGUGGUCUAGUGGUAUGAUUCUCGCUUAGGGUGCGAGAGGUCCCCGAUUCGAUCUCGGGCAAGACCC
This 72-nucleotide transfer RNA is filed under the name Pseudogymnoascus destructans 20631-21. RNAcentral's name for it is "tRNA-Pro (AGG) (tRNA-Pro-AGG-1 1 to 3)". It matches the Rfam family "tRNA". Rfam says of the family: Transfer RNA (tRNA) molecules are approximately 80 nucleotides in length. The record is from RNAcentral. Lineage: Eukaryota; Fungi; Ascomycota; Leotiomycetes; Thelebolales; Thelebolaceae.